Molecule: ribosomal RNA, 844 nt
Filed under: Zopfiella tabulata
Lineage: Eukaryota; Fungi; Ascomycota; Sordariomycetes; Sordariales; Chaetomiaceae
Description: eukaryotic LSU rRNA
Rfam family: Eukaryotic large subunit ribosomal RNA
Source: RNAcentral
AACAGGGAUUGCCCCAGUAACGGCGAGUGAAGCGGCAACAGCUCAAAUUUGAAAUCUGGCUUCGGCCCGAGUUGUAAUUUGUAGAGGAAGCUUUUGGUGCGGCACCUACUGAGUCCCCUGGAACGGGGCGCCAUAGAGGGUGAGAGCCCCGUAUAGUAGGACGCCUAGCCUGUGUAAAGCUCCUUCGACGAGUCGAGUAGUUUGGGAAUGCUGCUCUAAAUGGGAGGUAAAUUUCUUCUAAAGCUAAAUAUUGGCCAGAGACCGAUAGCGCACAAGUAGAGUGAUCGAAAGAUGAAAAGCACUUUGAAAAGAGGGUUAAACAGCACGUGAAAUUGUUGAAAGGGAAGCGCUUGUGACCAGACUUGCGCCGGGCGGAUCAUCCGGUGUUCUCACCGGUGCACUCCGCCCGGCUCAGGCCAGCAUCGGUUCUCGUGGGGGGAUAAAGGCUCUGGGAACGUGGCUCCUCCGGGAGUGUUAUAGCCCAGGGUGCAAUGCCCUCGUGGGGACCGAGGUUCGCGCAUCUGCAAGGAUGCUGGCGUAAUGGUCAUCAGCGACCCGUCUUGAAACACGGACCAAGGAGUCAAGGUUUUGCGCGAGUGUUUGGGUGUAAAACCCGCACGCGUAAUGAAAGUGAACGUAGGUGAGAGCUUCGGCGCAUCAUCGACCGAUCCUGAUGUAUUCGGAUGGAUUUGAGUAGGAGCGUUAAGCCUUGGACCCGAAAGAUGGUGAACUAUGCUUGGAUAGGGUGAAGCCAGAGGAAACUCUGGUGGAGGCUCGCAGCGGUUCUGACGUGCAAAUCGAUCGUCAAAUCUGAGCAUGGGGGCGAAAGACUAAUCGAACCAUC